RNAcentral lists this long non-coding RNA (232 nucleotides) under Elaeis guineensis (African oil palm). RNAcentral describes it as "long non-coding RNA (EGUI_LNC010492)". Lineage: Eukaryota; Viridiplantae; Streptophyta; Magnoliopsida; Arecales; Arecaceae. The record is from RNAcentral.
AUACUAUCCUAAGCUAAAUUUUUAACCCUCAUGAGUGUCAUAAGAAAUUCUAUCCCAAGAUACGACUGAGAUGUCUUCUCUUGAAGCACGAUCAUAGAAAAGAUGGAUAGAUUUUUUUUCAACACUCAACAAAAGAAAAAGGCAAAAAAAAAAGAAUAAAGUAAUAGAUAACAAGAAAGCAUAAGGCGAUAAAACAGAAGAGAGAAGAAUCGCUAUUUUUCUGAUUCCCAAU